CCCUUAGAUGUUCUGGGCCGCACGCGCGCUACACUGAUGCAAUCAACAAGUGCCUUUUGCCGACGGGUGAAGAGGACUCUUGUGAGUUUGUAUCGUGAUGGGAACAAACGAUUGCAAUUAUUCGUUUCGAACGAGGAAUUCCUAGUAAGCGCGAGUCAUCAGCUUGUGCUGAUUACGUCCCUGCCCUUUGUACACACCGCCCGUCGCUCCUACCGAUUGGAUGAUCCGGUGAGCUGGCCGGACAGGCGGACUGCAUCUGAUGCUCUUCGCUUGGAAGGCUCGCAAACCUUAUCAUUUAGAGGAAGGAGAAGUCGUAACA
RNAcentral lists this ribosomal RNA (319 nucleotides) under uncultured eukaryote. Its description in RNAcentral is "partial 18S ribosomal RNA". It matches the Rfam family "Eukaryotic small subunit ribosomal RNA", at positions 1470 to 1796 of the family's 1831-position model. The record is from RNAcentral.